UCGAGAAUUUUUCGCAAUGGGCGAAAGCCUGACGAAGCGACGCCGUGUGAGUGAAGAAGGCCUUCGGGUUGUAAAGCUCUUUCGCUUGGGAACAAGAAAAGGGGGCUAAAACCCCUCUGAUUUGAGGGUACUAGGUAAAGAAGCACCGGCUAACUCCGUGCCAGCAGCUGCGGUAAUACGGAGGGUGCAAGCAUUAAUCGGAUUCAUUGGGCGUAAAGGGCGCGUAGGCGGAGAAAUAAGUCAGACGUGAAAUGCAAAGGCUUAACCUUUGGACAGCGUUUGAAACUAUUAAACUAGAGGGUAGGCGGAGAAAAUGGAAUUCCACAAGUAGCGGUGGAAUGCGUAGAUAUGUGGAGGAACACCUGUGGCGAAGGCGGUUUUCUAGCUUAUACCUGACGCUGAGGCGCGAAAGCAAGGGGAGCAAACA
This 427-nucleotide ribosomal RNA is filed under the name uncultured prokaryote. RNAcentral's name for it is "bacterial SSU rRNA". It matches the Rfam family "Bacterial small subunit ribosomal RNA", at positions 355 to 774 of the family's 1533-position model. The record is from RNAcentral.